This 771-nucleotide ribosomal RNA is filed under the name Bolivina subaenariensis. RNAcentral describes it as "partial 18S ribosomal RNA". It matches the Rfam family "Eukaryotic small subunit ribosomal RNA", at positions 915 to 1196 of the family's 1831-position model. Lineage: Eukaryota; Foraminifera; Rotaliida; Bolivinitidae. The record is from RNAcentral.
AAUUCAUUGACCCUAGCAAGACUACCAAAAGCGAAAGCAGUUGGCUAGGCUAUACUCUUUGUGAUUUACGCACGCACACACACACAUAUACGUAUAUAUUAUAUACAUACACACACGCAUUUCGUAUAUUUUUUUACGUAUACGCAUAUAUUAUUACAUACACACGCAUCUCUCAAUAAUAUAUGCAUCUCACAUAUGCGCGUAUCUAACACUUUACAAUGAAGAACGAAGGUUGGGGGAUCAAAGAGGAUCAGAUACCCUCGUCGUCCCAUUAAUUACAUCAAACGAUGGGCUCUCAAUUGCAUUUCUCUAUAGAUAUGCAAAUCCUCCUCAGCCUACAAAAAUAUUACUUAGCUUGAGCUUGUGAUUUCACUAUCACGCUCGCUAUAUUAUAUAUUUUCACGUAUGGUCUCGACGGACGUUUCAUAUUCUUAUACAAUAUUUUGCGUGUAAGCUUUAUGUCAUUGCUUGAAACAUAGUAAUACAUAGCGUGCACUUGAUUUUCGGAGCUUUGCGCUCAAAUUAUUCUGGUGAGAUGUAAGCAUCAUGUUAUUAUGCAUCGCUAUUACAUAUAUUCAUUUCGGUGAGUAUUUUGUGCAUACGCUGUAUUGUAUCUUAACAAUUUUUCGAUGUGAAGCACGCAUUAGGCACGCGCUUACUGCAGAAAUGUCUGAGACACUCUCCUCCGGGGGUAGUAUGCACGCAAGUGUGAAACUUGAAGGAAUUGACGGAAGGGCACCACAAGAACGCGUGGAGCAUGUGGCUUAAUUU